Non-coding RNA from Prunus avium (sweet cherry), 843 nucleotides. The record is from RefSeq and is a predicted model, not a curated record. NCBI's taxonomy places the organism in Eukaryota, Viridiplantae, Streptophyta, Magnoliopsida, Rosales, Rosaceae.
CUAUUCCUCUUCCCAUCCAGAAGCUCUUCGUUUCCUACGCUACGCAUCCAGCAAGAGCAACAGCCCCUCUCCUAGUUAUUUCUCCGUGGAACUCUAUUUAAUUCACCGAUCUCUUAAUAAUCCACAAUCAUAUUCCCUAUCUCCCUUCAAUUCAUAUCCUUUAUUUUCAGUUUCUCUCAUCCCUCUUUUCUCAUAUCAUAUUGUAACCCUAAGUUUCAAUCUCACACUAAAAAGCUCACAAAUUGUCUUUGAGAUUGAUGGUGACCAAGAGGGGAGGAGCAUGAGAAAUUGAAAAGGUGGAGGAACGGAGUGGAGUUUCUCAAAUUUUAGUUUCAACACAGUUAGCCUGAAUAAAGCUCUGCAAGAUUGAGGCUUUUUUAUAUAAGCUUUAACCAGGUUAUGUCUUAAAAAAUAUGUAUGUUGUUACUUAUUGUAGUUUCUUUGUCCAAUUGUGCUACCAUUUGUUACUUUUCUUAUGUCGUAUGAUUCUUUCUGCUGACCACAAAGAUGAAGCUUGAAGCCAUAAGCCAAUCUUAAGGGAAAGGGUUUAGUACUUUGAACAAAAACUUAGUUUUAAUGUAUCUUGACAUGUUCCCAUUUUUGGUUGCAAGGGUUCUAAAUUUCCUCUUUGUGAUGUGCAUGUUCCUCUUAGUGCAAAAACCCCGUUUGAUGAUGAGAUGUGGGAUGAGAUGUGGGAUGAUAUAUUCAAUGAUUUGCGCGAUGUUCAAUGAUUUGGGCGACGGGGAAUGUAGAACUAUUUGAUUGUACAAAGUGAUAUCUCAUCUUUGUUAUAUUUACAACACUAAUGAGCAAUUCUGUUUGUUGAGUGUGGUGUGGUGUUCA